Molecule: small nuclear RNA, 135 nt
Organism: Gracilinanus agilis (Agile Gracile Mouse Opossum)
Lineage: Eukaryota; Metazoa; Chordata; Mammalia; Didelphimorphia; Didelphidae
Product: U4 spliceosomal RNA
Exons: 1
Source: RefSeq, a predicted model, not a curated record
AGCUUUGUGCAGUGGCAGCAUCGUAGCCAAUUAGGUUUAACUGAGGUGCCAUUAAUGCUAAUUGAAAACUAAUUAUUCCCUUAAUUUUCAGAAAAAGCUCCCUCUGUCCCCCACUCUCAUAUAUAUAUAUAUAUA